GGUAGUCGGCACUUCGAGUUCGGGCAUUUAGAACCUCGGAACUUCGACUGUGUAAUAUCGUUCGGGGUGUUAGACGUUUAACAGGAGUUUGCUAAGGACGCCUUUUGUUCCUCAGUGGAGACAUGACUGGCAUCUUCAAUUCUUCCUUAAUUUAUCGUAGUGUAAUUGGCCAUGUUGUGAAGUUUUUAAGAAAAAAAAACGUAUAACGCGACUGGACGGCAGUUGGCGCUUGGGAUUCCCAUCGAUUGUUGUUACUUGGUUGGUUAAAUUAUAAUGAAGCCCGGCUUUCUGAAAGGAUUUUUUUGGUACGCGUUUGGCUUAGAUUUUCUAUAAUGGUAAAACUUCGCGCAUGAUAAAGCUGAUUUUUUCAGCUACAGCCAGAAUACAGAAGAAUCAAGAAAAGCAUGGUUGUGUGAAGUGAAGAUGCGCAGAGCGCGGUUUCAGACGAUGGCUGAGGACGACGACGACUGUGAUAGUUUGCUGCCAGAAUUUGCCUUCCUUUGAAGUGACUUACACAAGCCUCGAAUGAGUAAGUCUUCAGAAGACUCCGCCUGGCUCCAAUAUUUCCAAUUGAAAUAGAAUAUUUCAGAGGACUUCAACUGGCAUGACGAACUAUAAUAGCCUUGAAGGUUUCCUAACUUUACAAAAUUCAAUUUCAUGCCAACAUCCGAAUAUUUGGAAAUUUAUAAAUAUACUAAAGCUGGAGGCGAUUUUGGCGCAAGAAAAGAAAAGUGAUUUGGAAUGUUGAGUGCUAGAAUAGACUGAUAACUUUAAAGUAUGAUCCUUGCCAGAAAGUGUGUUUCUAGCUGUAGCAUAUAGUCUGUACCAUGUUGGUUUUAGUAAAUCUUUUUAUAUUGUCA
This is a long non-coding RNA of Macrobrachium nipponense, 860 nucleotides long. RefSeq lists it as uncharacterized. The record is from RefSeq and is a predicted model, not a curated record. Lineage: Eukaryota; Metazoa; Arthropoda; Malacostraca; Decapoda; Palaemonidae. The transcript has 3 exons.